RNAcentral lists this non-coding RNA (570 nucleotides) under Pongo abelii (Sumatran orangutan). The record is from RNAcentral. Lineage: Eukaryota; Metazoa; Chordata; Mammalia; Primates; Hominidae.
CUGCCCCUGCCUUUGGGGGUCGACCCUUGUACUCGCAGGACCUUAGGUGACUCUAUUCUACUUCUCUGAUCAUCCAGGAAACCAAUCUGCCUGAGGACGAGUCAUACUCUGUCCUCCCACCCCAGGCUAGAGAGUGGUAUCUGUCUUUCCACAAGUUGGAUCUGAAUGAUGCAGUGUUGCAAUCCCAUUUUAUAAAUGAGGCAACCAAAACUCAAACAGGACCAUAUUGUGACUGAAACAAGGCAUAACAGGUCUUUGACUAGCUAUCCUGUGGGUGUGGCCUCAGGGUAGCCUGCAGAAAGUGGUGAGCAAGGUGGUUGGGAAAAUCAAAGGAGGGGGUAAGGUAGUGGCAGGUAACUAUCGAUAAUCUGCUCUUCUUCACAGAAAGACAGGCAAUUAGAUUGAAAAAUACCUGUGAUUCAAAGAAGUCACAAGUCACAGAGACAAACUUUUCCCAGUGUGUUCGAGUCAGAGAACCUUUGCAAAGACCAACAGGCUAAAAGAGAAAAUACAGUGUCAUAUGGAGAAGCUUUGAGAACACUAUGCUAAGUGAAAGAAGCCAGACACAAA